This 481-nucleotide ribosomal RNA is filed under the name uncultured bacterium. RNAcentral's name for it is "bacterial SSU rRNA". It matches the Rfam family "Bacterial small subunit ribosomal RNA", at positions 26 to 518 of the family's 1533-position model. The record is from RNAcentral.
GGCUACAGGACGAACGCUGGCGGCGUGCCUAACACAUGCAAGUCGAACGGAGAUAUUAGUAAUAGUAUCUUAGUGGCGGACGGGUGAGUAACGCGUGGGCAACCUGCCUUCGACCGGGGGAUAACACAGGGAAACUUGUGCUAAUACCGCAUAACAUCAUGAGAAGACAUCUUUUUAUGAUCAAAGGAGCAAUCCGGUAGAAGAUGGGCCCGCGUCCGAUUAGCUAGUUGGUGGUGUAACGGACCACCAAGGCGACGAUCGGUAGCCGAACUGAGAGGUUGAUCGGCCACAUUGGGACUGAGACACGGCCCAGACUCCUACGGGAGGCAGCAGUGGGGAAUAUUGCGCAAUGGAGGAAACUCCUGACGCAGCAACGCCGCGUGAAGGAUGAAGGUUUUCGGAUUGUAAACUUCUUUGAUGGGGGACGAAUAAUGACGGUACCCCAAAAACAAGCCACGGCUAACUACGUGCCAGCCGCUGC